AAAUUAAAAAGAAAAGGAAUAAGACCUUUAUAAGUG
Molecule: transfer RNA, 36 nt
Filed under: Altica cirsicola
Lineage: Eukaryota; Metazoa; Arthropoda; Insecta; Coleoptera; Chrysomelidae
Description: partial tRNA-Met
Source: RNAcentral